Molecule: ribosomal RNA, 1184 nt
Filed under: Candidatus Phytoplasma solani
Lineage: Bacteria; Bacillati; Mycoplasmatota; Mollicutes; Acholeplasmatales; Acholeplasmataceae
Description: bacterial SSU rRNA
Rfam family: Bacterial small subunit ribosomal RNA
Source: RNAcentral
GAAGGCAUCUUCUUAUUUUUAAAAGACCUAGCAAUAGGUAUGCUUAGGGAAGAGCUUGCGUCACAUUAGUUAGUUGGUGGGGUAAUGGCCUACCAAGACGAUGAUGUGUAGCCGGGCUGAGAGGUCGAACGGCCACAUUGGGACUGAGACACGGCCCAAACUCCUACGGGAGGCAGCAGUAAGGAAUUUUCGGCAAUGGAGGAAACUCUGACCGAGCAAUGCCGCGUGAACGAUGAAGUAUUUCGGUACGUAAAGUUCUUUUAUUAGGGAAGAAAAGAUGGUGGAAAAACCAUUAUGACGGUACCUAAUGAAUAAGCCCCGGCUAACUAUGUGCCAGCAGCCGCGGUAAUACAUAGGGGGCAAGCGUUAUCCGGAAUUAUUGGGCGUAAAGGGUGCGUAGGCGGUUAAAUAAGUUUAUGGUCUAAGUGCAACGCUCAACGUUGUGAUGCUAUAAAAACUGUUUAGCUAGAGUUGGAUAGAGGCAAGUGGAAUUCCGUGUGUAGUGGUAAAAUGCGUAAAUAUACGGAGGAACACCAGAAGCGAAGGCGGCUUGCUGGGUCUUAACUGACGCUGAGGCACGAAAGCGUGGGGAGCAAACAGGAUUAGAUACCCUGGUAGUCCACGCCCUAAACGAUGAGUACUAAACGUUGGAUAAAACCAGUGUUGAAGUUAACACAUUAAGUACUCCGCCUGAGUAGUACGUACGCAAGUAUGAAACUUAAAGGAAUUGACGGGACUCCGCACAAGCGGUGGAUCAUGUUGUUUAAUUCGAAGGUACCCGAAAAACCUCACCAGGUCUUGACAUGCUUUUGCAAAGCUGUAGAAAUACAGUGGAGGUUAUCAGAAGCACAGGUGGUGCAUGGUUGUCGUCAGCUCGUGUCGUGAGAUGUUGGGUUAAGUCCCGCAACGAGCGCAACCCUUGUUGUUAAUUGCCAUCAUUAAGUUGGGGACUUUAGCAAGACUGCCAAUGAUAAAUUGGAGGAAGGUGGGGACGACGUCAAAUCAUCAUGCCCCUUAUGACCUGGGCUACAAACGUGAUACAAUGGCUGUUACAAAGGGUAGCUAAAGCGUAAGCUUCUGGCGAAUCUCAAAAAAGCAGUCUCAGUUCGGAUUGAAGUCUGCAACUCGACUUCAUGAAGUUGGAAUCGCUAGUAAUCGCGAAUCAGCAUGUCGCGGUGAAUACG